UACGAGGGGGGCAAAUGUUGUUCGGAAUCACUGGGCGUAAAGGGAGCGUAGGCGGGUUUCUAAGUCAGGUGUUUAAUCCCGGGGCCCAACCCCGGACAGGCAUUUGAAACUGGGAAUCUUGAAUAGUGGAGAGGUCAGUGGAAUUGGGGGUGUAGCGGUGGAAUGCGUAGAGAUCCCCAAGAACACCAGUUGCGAAGGCGGCUGACUGGACACAUAUUGACGCUGAGGCUCGAAAGCAUGGGGAGCAAACAGG
RNAcentral lists this ribosomal RNA (253 nucleotides) under uncultured bacterium. Its description in RNAcentral is "partial 16S ribosomal RNA". It matches the Rfam family "Bacterial small subunit ribosomal RNA", at positions 524 to 776 of the family's 1533-position model. The record is from RNAcentral.